Molecule: long non-coding RNA, 217 nt
Filed under: Vitis vinifera (wine grape)
Lineage: Eukaryota; Viridiplantae; Streptophyta; Magnoliopsida; Vitales; Vitaceae
Description: long non-coding RNA (VVIN_LNC007074)
Source: RNAcentral
UUAGGACAUAGGGAUAUUCUCUACAGUGGUGACACGUAGUAGGGGGGCAAGAGGUUGCUUAUUGGUUCGUUUUGGAAAUGAGAGUAAGGAGUUGGGGAUGAGGAGGUUGUGAGAGAGCCAUUUUUGAGAAAGUGAGCAACAAGAACGAGUUGGGUUUUUUUUUUUUUUUGGGAGAAAUGAAGAGCAUUCAGUAGAGAUGAUAUGGAUUUUGAGGGAG